Non-coding RNA from Oryzias latipes (Japanese medaka), 2355 nucleotides. Lineage: Eukaryota; Metazoa; Chordata; Actinopteri; Beloniformes; Adrianichthyidae. The record is from RefSeq and is a predicted model, not a curated record.
UAAACCAACAUACUUAAAACUGUUGAAAAAUAAUGUUUACUUGUAACAGCUGCUGUCCUUUAUAAACAGUUUCAAUUCAGAAUUUUUGUUUUUCGCAAUGAUCCUAAUUUUUUGUGGGGGGGGGGGCUUUCAGCCCAUCGGCUACUGGGACAUGAUUGGCAUCGGGUUACGGUGAUGUCAUUUACGGUUAAAAACAGCGUCUGUUGUUUGCUACGGCUGUGUUAAACCCCCUUUGAUAUACUAAACCUUGGGCGAGCAUUAUCACUACUGUAUGCCACUAGUUAACGAAAACAAUUUUAAAAUUUUCCAUUUUUUUUAAAUUUACAAAGGGUAUUUUACAAAUUUACAAUCUGGUUUUUCAUUCACUUUAAGCUGACGCACCACAGACGAGGUAUGACUUCCAAAUACUCAAAUAUUCUCGCUGCAGCACAGACAAAGAAACAUCACCUAAGGAGGACAUGCACACAAUGCAUCACAAUGCAGCAGCAUUGAAUGUGCAGCGGUAAAACAGACAACCCAGUCCCUUGUUUGCAGUUUGCAAUAAAAUAUUCCUGUGCACCUUCGCUAAAGAGGGCUGCUUUCUUAAGACAAUUUUCCCAGCACUGAUUUAUUUCUUUAAUUAAUUAAAAUUAAUUUAAUUAAUUUUCUGUAGCAUCCUCCUCUUUUGUUAAACCCACUAAGUUUCCUAUUGGAAAAGAUGGCAAAGUGCUACAGAAGUGUUACUUUGAGCUUGUUAACACUGCAUGGAGGAUUGGCAUGGACUGAGCCAAGUGAUAUUUUUUAAAAAGUCUGGCCUAAUAAGGGGACUCAACAAAUCCUUUCGACAGUGACCAAAGACCAUCAAUACGAUCUUUUCCCACAGAAUGAAAUUAUUUUUAAGACAGGACGAGACAAAGUCCCUCUUUCUUGUUUCUCUCACAAUGUCUUCUGCUUUCCCCCCAGAAACCUGCUGAACUCAAAACUGUUUGCUGCAGAGGCGAGCAUUUCUAUUUGUGUCAUUAGUUUUGUUUGUGCACGUCAGAGUGGCGACUGCAGUGAAACUGAACCAACCGAAUGCAGGCUUGACGAUAUCCUAGUAGGAGAGAGUCAAAUGGAAUCGGAAAAUAAAGUGGGUUUUGUGGGUGAGUUGUGAUUGUUUACUUACAUUUCGCCAGAAAGACUUUUUGAAAUGUGCACCUGAUCGCCAUUGCCUCGUGUUCAGAGCAGCUGCAAUUUACGAAAGCAGACAGCUGGCUGACGGACUGGUCAGUCUGCAGGGUCAAGAUGGCAGUCUACCCCAUGUAGCAGACAGACAAGUCAAAGUGUUCAAAGUGAAGUCUCCAGUGCUUUUAUCAAAGAAGCAGUGGAUUUCCGGUCAAACAAACUUCUGACUUUUUCAAAUUCAAAGAGAAACAUUUGUCCGCACAGCUUGACGAAUCUAGCUGAAGGAGAAGAUGUUUUGGCUUCAGCGCAAACACACAGCCCAAGUCAUGAAACUACACAAAGUGUCUUUUAUCGAGCUCCUGGAUUCCUGACAUGUCUUCAAGAGCGUCUGGAAUUCAUUGUGUUUGUGUCAAAGUGCUGACAGUUUUCCGAGGAGAAAGCUAAUGUGAACAAACAGAAUUAUUGAAUAAAACUGUUUUUAAUUCAAGUGAAUUAUUCUGCAUAUUUUUAUGUGUUGGACUGGUUGCAUGUGUGUGUGAGAGCUUUGCCUGUAGGCUUGUCUCCAAGACAGAUCUGCUGGAAAACAAUGAAGCCCAUUCAAGGAAGAACCUCCUUCCUCUAAUAUAGCGUAUCAUCAUGAUAUGGUGAGGCAGUUUGUGGAUUACCCAUCAUGCUCACACUGAAAAACCGUUGCAUUGGUAUGAAACCAUCGGGCAAAAAAGUGUCAGUAUAUCAUAAAGCCAUCUUUUUCCUUGCUUCAAAUAUUUUCGUAAUUUAAAUACAGCUUAAUUGAUAAAAGAAACAUAUUAGUUUGCUUAAAGAUUCAAAUCAUAAACAUAUAUACACUGGAGGGAUAAUCUCUAAUGUCACCCACAGGAUCUUAAUCAUCAAAAAUAAAGCCUGAAGUGGUUGAUCCAACUCAAAAACCCAUCGCCAGAAAUAUUGAAUUUUUUCAACUUUAAACAGAAAAGAAAAACAUUAGAAUAAAACUGAUAGAGGGAUGCAAAGAUAAGUAAAAUUAAAACUAACCAUAUUCACUACUGUAAUUAUUUACAACCAAUUUUCCAUUCAAAGAGUGUAUAGGAUAUUUUCAAUGGAAUAGCUUUUUUACAUAACACAAUUUGUUCCAAUUAACUGUUACUGUGAUUUCCAAAUAACUUAACUUUAGUUUAUUUUUAGUUUAAGUAAUUUUUCUUUGAGAAGAACCAAAAA